GUGCUUGCUACGGUGGCACAUACACUAAAAUUGGAUCGAUACAGAGAAGAUUAGCAUGGCGCCUUUGCGCAGGGGCCAUGCUAAUCUUCUCUGUAUCGAUCCAAUUUUAG
Danio aesculapii is the source of this 110-nucleotide small nuclear RNA. The record is from RefSeq and is a predicted model, not a curated record. Lineage: Eukaryota; Metazoa; Chordata; Actinopteri; Cypriniformes; Danionidae.